RNAcentral lists this ribosomal RNA (477 nucleotides) under uncultured bacterium. RNAcentral describes it as "bacterial SSU rRNA". It matches the Rfam family "Bacterial small subunit ribosomal RNA", at positions 30 to 502 of the family's 1533-position model. The record is from RNAcentral.
AUUGAACGCUGGCGGCAUGCUUUACACAUGCAAGUCGAAUGGUAACAGGUCUUCGGAUGCUGACGAGUGGCGAACGGGUGAGUAAUGCAUCGGAACGUGCCCAGUCGUGGGGGAUAACGCAGCGAAAGCUGUGCUAAUACCGCAUACGAUCUAUGGAUGAAAGCGGGGGAUCGCAAGACCUUGCGCUAUACGAGCGGCCGAUGUCAGAUUAGCUAGUUGGUAGGGUAAAGGCCUACCAAGGCGACGAUCUGUAGCGGGUCUGAGAGGAUGAUCCGCCACACUGGGACUGAGACACGGCCCAGACUCCUACGGGAGGCAGCAGUGGGGAAUUUUGGACAAUGGGCGCAAGCCUGAUCCAGCCAUGCCGCGUGCGGGAAGAAGGCCUUCGGGUUGUAAACCGCUUUGUCAGGGAAGAAAUACUUCUGGGCUAAUACCUCGGGAGGAUGACGGUACCUGAAGAAUAAGCACCGGCUAACU